UCCCAUGAGAUAGUCCAGUUAAAAUUGGACCAUAGAAUUUUAUUUUAUUUUUGAGGGAAGGACCAUAGAAAAAUUGAAAGUGGAGGACUUUAAAUUUUAAAAAUAAAAUGAAAGGGUGUGGAUUAUUUAAUAAUGAGAAACAUGACGACGUUAAAGGUGAUUCCAGUUGAUUCAGAAGAGAGGGUUCCAAAUUCUAUGUCGUCAUCAUAUAUGAAGGCUUUGACGAAUCUAAUUAACGGGGAACACACACGUGAUAUUGAGCUUGAUUGGUGCGAGAUCUCUAGACGACAUUACAAGUGUAUGCCAAGGUGGGGAAUUCCCAAGUGACAUCGAGGGUGUAACUCGAUCGUAAGGAGCUACGAUGCAAUCCAUUUGUACCUUUUUCUGUCACCUAAAUGGAUUUCAGUUUAAGUCGAGCAAGCCUAUGAGGGUUUAAAAGUACACGCCUCCAUAAGAGGUAGCAUAAACCAUAUUUCUUAUGUAGGGGUACCAAAUGGGUCAGAGUUGUCCCAUGUGUGAAAUGCAUUGAGUCUUACAUUGUGCGGAAUCAAAGUGUGCUUGGGAGAAAUAUCAAGGGAAAGUAUGUGUGAAUGUAUACAUAUGAGAGCGUACCAUGCAUCAUAAUUUGUGUCGGUCGUGCUUGGGUUUGGGGUCUUGAAAAUGACCCGAGUGCGCGAGUGAUUGUGCAGCUUAUCCUAAUGACAAUAUAUUCCUAAUUAUCUCAUGGUACUUUUAAAUGAUAAUAUGUGUUUUAAGUCUCUAAUAUGGUCCUUUCAAAAAAAAAAAAAAGAGUCUCUAAUAUGGUAUUUUAUGCGUCUUACUAACACGUCCGCUCGAAACAUAGGAGCAACAAGAACAUAUAGCCGACUCCAGUAAUUAACCAAACUCGCAUGGCCCUAAAUCUUCUAUUAGCUCUCUGAGUUUUGUAUUCAAGUUCAAACAAGCAACACCAUAUAGGGUCCGGAUGAAUACACAUAACAAUGAUCAUGUGCAACUUAACUAUAUACAGCACCAUCUAGUCUAUAACAUCAACAUCAACAUUUUAUACAUAUAUAUAUAUGAGAAUGUAACGAACAUUUACAUGAAAAUUUUAUGCAACUAUAUAUCCUCAUAAACCAAUUAUUAAUUUCAAUAUAAGAUAUUGACAAUACAGAGGUUUAUGAAUAGUUUUGAUAUAAUUAAUGAUGAUGAGCGUCAGGUCCACCGGGACUUAAUCUUUGUAGCUCGUCACGUUUUCCACCUUCUUCUUCUGGAAAUGGUUGUAUGGAAUUCCAAUUCCAAUGAGAAGUUGCUAACAUGUGAUGAUCACUUACCAUUGUUGGGUUCAGAUGUCGUGUCUCACCUCUACCACAUAGAACCAACACUAACAAAAUGCAACUCAAAAUUCUCGUUUCUUUGGUCAUUCUCAAUUGUCACGGUCCAAUAUAUGUUGGCUGAACUUAAUGUUUGUAAGAGCUUGGAAUAUGGUAUUUAUAGCUUAGUUUAGAUUUAUUUUUUAAUAUUUUAUUAUUAUAUGUGUACGUAUGAAUCACUAAAUUGAAGUGCGGUUGAGUGUAUCUGAUCUGAAUUUAGCUG
RNAcentral lists this long non-coding RNA (1575 nucleotides) under Medicago truncatula (barrel medic). RNAcentral's name for it is "long non-coding RNA (MTRU_LNC002162)". The record is from RNAcentral. Lineage: Eukaryota; Viridiplantae; Streptophyta; Magnoliopsida; Fabales; Fabaceae.